UGUGGUUUUAUCAAGGCAAUGGAAAUCAUCACAAUUUGAAGGCUUUUGAGAAGGAAAAGCCUUUCAUUUUCUUUGUUUGUGCAGUACAAUCUUCUUUUAGCAUUUCUUUAACACGAAGAAUGGAAAAAGCCAGAAAUGCAUUUUUUUUCA
Oxyura jamaicensis (ruddy duck) is the source of this 150-nucleotide long non-coding RNA. RefSeq lists it as uncharacterized. The transcript has 3 exons. The record is from RefSeq and is a predicted model, not a curated record. Lineage: Eukaryota; Metazoa; Chordata; Aves; Anseriformes; Anatidae.